UACUCCUACGGGAGGCAGCAGUGAGGAAUAUUGGUCAAUGGGCGAGAGCCUGAACCAGCCAAGUAGCGUGCAGGACGACGGCCCUAUGGGUUGUAAACUGCUUUUGUAUGGGGAUAAAGUCAAUCACGUGUGAUUGUUUGCAGGUACCAUACGAAUAAGGACCGGCUAAUUCCGUGCCAGCAGCCGCGGUAAUACGGAAGGUCCGGGCGUUAUCCGGAUUUAUUGGGUUUAAAGGGAGCGUAGGCUGGAGAUUAAGUGUGUUGUGAAAUGUAGACGCUCAACGUCUGACUUGCAGCGCAUACUGGUUUCCUUGAGUACGCACAACGUUGGCGGAAUUCGUCGUGUAGCGGUGAAAUGCUUAGAUAUGACGAAGAACUCCGAUUGCGAAGGCAGCUGACGGGAGCGCAACUGACGCUGAAGCUCGAAGGUGCGGGUAUCGAACAGGAUUAGAUACCCUGGUAGUCCGCACAGUAAACGAUGGAUGCCCGCUGUUGGUACGUGGUAUCAGCGGCUAAGCGAAAGCAUUAAGCAUCCCACCUGGGGAGUACGCCGGCAACGGUGAAACUCAAAGGAAUUGACGGA
RNAcentral lists this ribosomal RNA (582 nucleotides) under uncultured bacterium. RNAcentral describes it as "bacterial SSU rRNA". It matches the Rfam family "Bacterial small subunit ribosomal RNA", at positions 334 to 917 of the family's 1533-position model. The record is from RNAcentral.